This 1092-nucleotide small RNA is filed under the name Arabidopsis thaliana (thale cress). Its description in RNAcentral is "ATSL278660". Lineage: Eukaryota; Viridiplantae; Streptophyta; Magnoliopsida; Brassicales; Brassicaceae. The record is from RNAcentral.
UCAGUUUAUGUAUCUUUGUCUCCCAGUUACAUUUAUGAUUCUGAUUAUUUUUAUGUAAGAAGUUCUGUUUAAAAUUGUAUUUGACUUUGAAAAUAUAUUAGGACUAGAUCAUAACCCGUGCUGUAUAGCACGGGCAUUAAUAUUUUGUAUAAAUUACAUUGUAUACUUUGUUAUGUUUGUUAUGUUUAUCAAAAUUAUUUGUUAUAUUUGUCAAAAUUUAGUAAAAUAUAUUCAAAUAUAAUUAAAUUUAUUAAAACUUAAUAAAUUUAAAAGUUUUUUUUGUUUAGAGACGCACUAUCUACAUACAAAAUACUCGUUUCUAUUUUUUUGAGUAUUUUUAGGGCCUGAAACUUUUUAUCCAAACUGACCCAAACCCAACUGGACCCGACCCGAACCGAAUAUUUAGAAUUAUUCUAUUAGGUAGUAAAUCAUAUACCCAUUAAUCCCAAACCCGAACGGGUUCUACCCGAACUCGAAUGGGUUACUCAUAUGCCCAGCCCUAUUCUCUGAUUUAAUUAUCUAAAAAAUCCCAAUAAAACAUAUGUUUUGUUGAAUACCUUUUAUUCAAAAAAAUUUACAUCCUCUUCUGCCAAAAUCAUUUCAUAAGACAUCCCAAAACCCUUGGAAUAAUGAUUCUAUGAAUGAAGAAUCCUAAUUUGAAUAUACCAAGAGGUUUUGAAAGGUUUUAAGUUUUUGAUAGGUGUGUAUGUGAGAAGGUACAUCCAUCGUGAUGGUAAUCUGCUUAUUUAUAAUUUUAACUUGCAUUAUACAGCAGGUAGGCUUAUAUUUUAGUUAAACUAAAAACUUUUAUUGUAAAGUUGAUUACAAAUAUAUGAUAUUAUUUUAUUUGAUUUUAAAUGUAUAGUAAACUGCUAGUUGUAUAUGUUUUGUUGAUAUUAUUUAUAUUGUUUAAUGUUUAAAAUUAUAUACUUGUAUUUUGAUUGUUAAUUUUAGAGUUUCACCUGUACUAUACCAUCUUGUAUUAAUAUUGAUUUAAACCCGUCAAUUCUAGGAUUUUCCAACUUGUAUUAAAAAUUGAAUCACAUCAUACACAUUAAAAAAUCUAAUAUGUUAUUAAUUAUUUUAGUAUAU